Long non-coding RNA from Cololabis saira (Pacific saury), 868 nucleotides. RefSeq lists it as uncharacterized. The record is from RefSeq and is a predicted model, not a curated record. The transcript is spliced from 3 exons. NCBI's taxonomy places the organism in Eukaryota, Metazoa, Chordata, Actinopteri, Beloniformes, Belonidae.
GAGGACUUUGGAUGAAAAGGCAGAACGUUUGUCUCCUCAUCUGAUAAAAGACUCUUCUCUCUUUUGAAUCAGUGAGAGGAUUCUCAUCACUGAAGAUCUUCAAAACAGCCAAGUCCUGCCUGGACCACUGCUCAACUAACUAACCAGUAAUUCAUCAGCUGAGUGAACCAUGAAGAUCACGGUAGCUGCCCUGCUGCUGCUCUCUGCUCUUGGACUCUCUCAAGCGCUGAGCUUCCGUCAGAAACAUGUCAUCCCUCGAUUGGAUACUAAUGAGUGUGAUAAUAGAAUGGUACGGAUCAAUAAUGACUGUCAAAAGUGCAAGCCUGUAAAUACCUUCAUCCUUGAAGAAAAUAAUAAUAUAGCAAUCGUCUGCCGGGGCAUAAGAUGGGGCGUUGGUUAUCUUCAAAACCCUCAUGGCAUUGUUUAUAGAUAUCGUUGGGGAACUUUCCCCAACUGUCAAUACACCCAUUAUUCUCAAUUACCACACAGCCUUGUGGUAAAAUGUGAAAAUGGUGUGCCUGUGCACUUGUUUGGUGGAAACAAAGACUGUUAAGAUGAACAUAGAUCACAUGUUUGAUUUUCGGUCUGUUUAAGUUUGGUAAACAAUGCAGAAAAUAAUCAAGCACAGCUGAGAUGCAUCACUUUCUCACAUUUAUGGAUCUUUUUUUUUUACCACUUUCCAUUGUCUCCAUGAUUUUGCUGUUUCAACCUGAUCUGUGUUUUAUUUUAUGUACGGAUAAUGGAUUAAAAAUCCAUUAUUUGUUGUUUUGUGUUGAUUAUAAAAGUGUCAAUGACAAGUUUGGGGACGAACAACAAUUUAAAAAGAAGCUAAUCAACAUUGUUCAUUCAUUUAGUUAUAUACAUUAAA